ACAGUACAAACUGAACAGACCGUGUUAUAUGUCUAUGUAUAUCAUGGAGUCGGGUCGCAUAAAGCGACAGUGGAAGCUUUCAUCCACGGGACAGU
RNAcentral lists this non-coding RNA (95 nucleotides) under human gut metagenome. RNAcentral's name for it is "NiCo riboswitch". It matches the Rfam family "NiCo (Nickel/Cobalt) riboswitch aptamer". The record is from RNAcentral.